GUGUGGAUAGGGGAGAAAUUCCAAUCGAAGGCGGAGAUAGCUGGUGCUCCUCGAACUAGCUUUAGGGCUAGCCUCGUAUUAGUGUUGCGGAGGUAGAGCACUGAAUUUCCUAGGGGGCGUCAAAGCCUACCGAAGAAUAUCAAACUCCGAAUGCCGCGUAAUCGAUUAUCGGGAGUCAGACUGCACGAGAUAAGUUGGGCGGUCAAAAGGGAAAGAGCCCAGACCUUCAGUUAAGGUCCCAAAGUGCGCGUUAAGUGGAAAAGGAUGUGGGAUUUCGAAGACAACCAGGAUGUUGGCUCAGAAGCAGCCAUCCAUUCAAAGAGUGCGUAAUAGCUCACUGGUCGAGAGGUCCUGCGCCGAAAAUGUCCGGGGCUG
Molecule: ribosomal RNA, 375 nt
Filed under: Escherichia coli
Lineage: Bacteria; Pseudomonadati; Pseudomonadota; Gammaproteobacteria; Enterobacterales; Enterobacteriaceae
Description: partial 23S ribosomal RNA
Rfam family: Bacterial large subunit ribosomal RNA
Source: RNAcentral